This 445-nucleotide ribosomal RNA is filed under the name uncultured delta proteobacterium. Its description in RNAcentral is "bacterial SSU rRNA". It matches the Rfam family "Bacterial small subunit ribosomal RNA", at positions 505 to 947 of the family's 1533-position model. The record is from RNAcentral. Lineage: Bacteria; Deltaproteobacteria.
GUGCCAGCAGCCGCGGUAAUACGGAGGGUGCAAGCGUUGUUCGGAAUCACUGGGCGUAAAGGGCACGUAGGGCGGCCUGUCAAGUCAGGUGUGAAAUCCCGGGGCUCAACCCUGGACGUGCAUCUGAAACUGGCAGGCUUGAGUAUGGGAGAGGAAAGUGGAAUUCCCGGUGUAGAGGUGAAAUUCGUAGAUAUCAGGAGGAACACCAGUGGCGAAGGCGGCUUCCUGGACCAAUACUGACGCUGAGGCACGAAGGCGUGGGUAGCAAACAGGAUUAGAUACUCUGGUAGUCCACGCAGUAAACGGUGAUCACUAGGUGUAGUGGGUUUUUACCCCCGCUGUGCCGAAGCUAACGCAUUAAGUGAUCCGCCUGGGGAGUACGAUCGCAAGGUUAAAACUCAAAGGAAUUGACGGGGGCCCGCACAAGCGGUGGAGCAUGUGGUUU